This 311-nucleotide small nuclear RNA is filed under the name Heterocephalus glaber (naked mole-rat). Its description in RNAcentral is "7SK RNA". It matches the Rfam family "7SK RNA". From Rfam's summary of the family: 7SK was discovered as an abundant small nuclear RNA in the mid-70s but a possible function has only recently been suggested. Two independent studies have found that 7SK RNA binds the CDK9/cyclin T complex (known as elongation factor P-TEFb). Lineage: Eukaryota; Metazoa; Chordata; Mammalia; Rodentia; Bathyergidae. The record is from Rfam by way of RNAcentral.
GGAUGUGAGGGCGAUCUGGCUACAUCUUUCACCCCAUUGACCCCCAGGGUUGAUUAGGCUGAUCUGGCUGGCUAAGCGGGUGUCCCCUUCCUCCCUCACUGCUCCAUGUGCAUCCAUCAGGAAGCUGCGUGCUUGGUGAAAGGGGAGGACUACCUCACGGAGGAGGAGCGUCUCCUUGGUCAAGGGCAUACAGUAGCUGCGGUCCCCUAAUAGAACUUCCGAACAAGCGCUCAAGGUGAUAUUCACCACUUUAAUAUUGAAAUCAAUGCUGCAAUAAAGAUAUCGCUACAUGGCUUCUUUUAUCCUUCACU